GAAACUGCGAAUGGCUCAUUAUAUAAGUUAUCGUUUAUUUGAUAGUACCUUACUACUUGGAUAACCGUGGUAAUUCUAGAGCUAAUACAUGCUAAAAAUCCCGACUUCGGAAGGGAUGUAUUUAUUAGAUUAAAAACCAAUGCCCUUCGGGGCUCACUGGUGAUUCAUGAUAACUCCUCGAAUCGCAUGGCCUUGUGCCGGCGAUGGUUCAUUCAAAUUUCUUCCCUAUCAACUUUCGAUGUUUGGGUAUUGGCCAAACAUGGUUGCAACGGGUAACGGAGGGUUAGGGCUCGACCCCGGAGAAGGAGCCUGAGAAACGGCUACUACAUCCAAGGAAGGCAGCAGGCGCGCAAAUUACCCAAUCCCGACACGGGGAGGUAGUGACAAUAAAUACUGAUACAGGGCUCUUUUGGGUCUUGUAAUUGGAAUGAGUACAAUUUAAAUCCCUUAACGAGGAACAAUUGGAGGGCAAGUCUGGUGCCAGCAGCCGCGGUAAUUCCAGCUCCAAUAGCGUAUAUAAAAGUUGUUGUGGUUAAAAAGCUCGUAGUUGAACCUUGGGCCUGGCUGGCCGGUCCGCCUCAC
RNAcentral lists this ribosomal RNA (582 nucleotides) under uncultured fungus. Its description in RNAcentral is "SSU rRNA". It matches the Rfam family "Eukaryotic small subunit ribosomal RNA", at positions 83 to 668 of the family's 1831-position model. The record is from RNAcentral. Lineage: Eukaryota; Fungi.